This 443-nucleotide long non-coding RNA is filed under the name Citrus maxima (pomelo). RNAcentral's name for it is "long non-coding RNA (CMAX_LNC000011)". The record is from RNAcentral. Lineage: Eukaryota; Viridiplantae; Streptophyta; Magnoliopsida; Sapindales; Rutaceae.
AAUAUUAAAAAAUAAAAUUGCAUAAAAUGGAGGGGAAACAUCAGUUCAUAUAAAAUCUAAAGUUGAUCGCUGUUUAUUAAAAAAGCAAGAAGAAUUUGCUUAUCAUACAAGUAGUAGACAGCAAAGGGAUCGGGCCCCAACAAGGAAAAUACUGAUUGUUUUCAACGAGAAAAGGCCAGCAAAAAGAGGAGAGCCAUAAUCAAAACCGGAACAAGGAGAAGCAUCAAAGGCGGCGGCGGCAAUGGUGGCAGCAGCAGGGGCAACAGUAAAAGUGACACCGUCAACACAACCAGAAUCAUAAUUGAUCUAACUGCAAAUAACCCUUUCAUCAAAUUCGACAGCAGCCGUUGAAUUAGCUCACGUGUUGUGGUUUGAUGUUCUGUUAAUUUAUAUUGAAAUUGAACGUUCGGGUUGCAACAUAGAUUUUAAGUAUAUCACCGUAU